UACGAAGGGGGCUAGCGUUGUUCGGAUUUACUGGGCGUAAAGCGCACGUAGGCGGAUCGUUAAGUCGGGGGUGAAAUCCCGGAGCUCAACUCCGGAACUGCCUUUGAUACUGGCGAUCUUGAGAUCGGAAGAGGUGAGUGGAAUUCCCAGUGUAGAGGUGAAAUUCGUAGAUAUUGGGAAGAACACCAGUGGCGAAGGCGGCUCACUGGUCCGAUACUGACGCUGAGGUGCGAAAGCGUGGGGAGCAAACAGG
Molecule: ribosomal RNA, 253 nt
Filed under: uncultured bacterium
Lineage: Bacteria
Description: partial 16S ribosomal RNA
Rfam family: Bacterial small subunit ribosomal RNA
Source: RNAcentral